GGGGCUGAUUCUGGAUUCGACGGGAUUUGCGAAACCCAAGGUGCAUGCCGAGGGGCGGUUGGCCUCGUAAAAAGCCGCAAAAAAUAGUCGCAAACGACGAAAACUACGCUUUAGCAGCUUAAUAACCUGCUUAGAGCCCUCUCUCCCUAGCCUCCGCUCUUAGGACGGGGAUCAAGAGAGGUCAAACCCAAAAGAGAUCGCGUGGAUGCCCUGCCUGGGGUUGAAGCGUUAAAACGAAUCAGGCUAGUCUGGUAGUGGCGUGUCCGUCCGCAGGUGCCAGGCGAAUGUAAAGACAGACUAAGCAUGUAGUACCGAGGAUGUAGGAAUUUCGGACGCGGGUUCAACUCCCGCCAGCUCCACCA
RNAcentral lists this transfer-messenger RNA (362 nucleotides) under Salmonella enterica. It matches the Rfam family "transfer-messenger RNA". From Rfam's summary of the family: Bacterial tmRNA, also known as 10Sa RNA or SsrA, is named for its dual tRNA and mRNA-like properties. Its role is to liberate the mRNA from a stalled ribosome. To accomplish this part of the tmRNA is used as a reading frame that ends in a translation stop signal. The record is from RNAcentral. RNAcentral also lists the same sequence under 1 other name. Lineage: Bacteria; Pseudomonadati; Pseudomonadota; Gammaproteobacteria; Enterobacterales; Enterobacteriaceae.